CCUACGGGGGGCUGCAGUGGGGAAUAUUGGACAAUGGGGGCAACCCUGAUCCAGCCAUGCCGCGUGUGUGAAGAAGGCCCUCGGGUUGUAAAGCACUUUCAGUGAGGAAGAACGCCUGAUGGUUAAUACCCAUCAGGAAAGACAUCACUCACAGAAGAAGCACCGGCUAACUCCGUGCCAGCAGCCGCGGUAAUACGGAGGGUGGCGAGCGUUAAUCGGAAUUACUGGGCGUAAAGCGCGCGUAGGUGGCUUGAUAAGCCGGUUGUGAAAGCCCCGGGCUCAACCUGGGAACGGCAUCCGGAACUGUCAAGCUAGAGUGCAGAAGAGGAACGUAGAAUUCCCGGUGUAGCGGUGAAAUGCGUAGAGAUCUGGAGGAAUACCAGUGGCGAAGGCGGCCUUCUGGACUGACACUGACCCUGAGGUGCGAAAGCGUGGGUAGCAAACAGGAUUAGAUACCCCUGUAGUC
This 466-nucleotide ribosomal RNA is filed under the name Vreelandella stevensii. RNAcentral's name for it is "partial 16S ribosomal RNA". It matches the Rfam family "Bacterial small subunit ribosomal RNA", at positions 338 to 795 of the family's 1533-position model. The record is from RNAcentral. Lineage: Bacteria; Pseudomonadati; Pseudomonadota; Gammaproteobacteria; Oceanospirillales; Halomonadaceae.